UUACUGAUCUCAGUCACUCUGUAACACCAAACAUGAACACACGCUGUUAGAUUUCCAUGAAUAUCACUACAUUUUCUUGUUGGGAACUAUUUUGUUUGCAGCAAAGUUACGUGUCUGAAUAAACAACGGCGGAGCCUCCUGCCCCGCGUUCUUCAUGGGUGUCAGGCUUCACGACUACCGGAGAGGCUCUCCUUCGAAGGCUCCUGGCCUUAGCGACAACCGACAAGGAGAGGCGCCGCCGAUUUGAAUACACAGCCCGCUUUA
This is a non-coding RNA of Oryzias latipes (Japanese medaka), 264 nucleotides long. Lineage: Eukaryota; Metazoa; Chordata; Actinopteri; Beloniformes; Adrianichthyidae. The record is from RefSeq and is a predicted model, not a curated record.